GCUUAACACAUGCAAGUCGAGGGGCAGCAUUUUAGUUUGCUUGCAAACUGAAGAUGGCGACCGGCGCACGGGUGAGUAACACGUAUCCAACCUGCCGAUAACUCCGGGAUAGCCUUUCGAAAGAAAGAUUAAUACCGGAUAGUAUACGAAUAUCGCAUGAUAUUUUUAUUAAAGAAUUUCGGUUAUCGAUGGGGAUGCGUUCCAUUAGUUUGUUGGCGGGGUAACGGCCCACCAAGACUACGAUGGAUAGGGGUUCUGAGAGGAAGGUCCCCCACAUUGGAACUGAGACACGGUCCAAACUCCUACGGGAGGCAGCAGUGAGGAAUAUUGGUCAAUGGGCGCGAGCCUGAACCAGCCAAGUAGCGUGAAGGAUGAAGGCUCUAUGGGUCGUAAACUUCUUUUAUAUGGGAAUAAAGUUUUCCACGUGUGGAAUUUUGUAUGUACCAUAUGAAUAAGGAUCGGCUAACUCCGUGCCAGCAGCCGCGGUAAUACGGAGGAUCCGAGCGUUAUCCGGAUUUAUUGGGUUUAAAGGGAGCGUAGGUGGAUUGUUAAGUCAGUUGUGAAAGUUUGCGGCUCAACCGUAAAAUUGCAGUUGAAACUGGCAGUCUUGAGUACAGUAGAGGUGGGCGGAAUUCGUGGUGUAGCGGUGAAUGCUUAGAUAUCACGAAGAACUCCGA
RNAcentral lists this ribosomal RNA (677 nucleotides) under uncultured Bacteroidales bacterium. RNAcentral describes it as "bacterial SSU rRNA". It matches the Rfam family "Bacterial small subunit ribosomal RNA", at positions 46 to 712 of the family's 1533-position model. The record is from RNAcentral. Lineage: Bacteria; Pseudomonadati; Bacteroidota; Bacteroidia; Bacteroidales.